CUGAAUGGGUUUAUAGAAGAAGAAGUUUAUGUUAAACAACCGCCUGGUUUUGAGCAUCCCAUUUUUCCUGAUCGUGUUUUUAAGUUGCAAAAGGCUUUAUAUGGUUUGAAGCAAGCACCUCGUGCUUGGUAUGCUAGAUUGAAAAAUUUUCUGCUUAAAAACGGGUUCAAAAUGGGUUCUGUCGAUAAAACCCUUUUUCUCCUUAGGCAAGGCAAUGACACUUUAAUAGUUCAGAUUUACGUGGAUGAUAUCAUUUUCGGUGGUUCCUCUCAUGCUCUUGUGAAAAAGUUUGCAGAUGUGAUGAGCAAAGAAUUUGAAAUGUCUAUGAUGGGCGAGCUGAAUUUCUUUCUUGGCUUACAAAUAAAACAAACUUCGGAAGGUACAUUUGUGCAUCAAGGAAAGUACACGAAGGAUGUCUUGAAGAAGUUUGCGAUGGAUGAUGCGAAGCCAAUUUCUACGCCCAUGCCGACUAGCGCAGCUUUGGAUGCUGAUUAGGAUGGAGAGCCCAUGGAUCAAAAGGAAUAUCGAAGCAUGAUUGGGUCGCUGUUAUACUUGACUGCUACGAGGCCAGAUAUACACUUUGCUGUGUGUAUGUGUGCUCGUUUUCAGGCGUCCCCCAGGUUUUCUCACCGUCAGGCGGUGAAACGCAUAAUGAGGCUGUGGUUGCAGGUGACAGGUGGAGACAAGGUACAUGCGGCAACGAGUGAAGAACGAGGAUAGGAUGUCGUGCCGAAGAACCGCUGGGGCGGAGAAGGAUGGAUCGAGGCUUGCGUUUGAGGGACAUGCGAUCGUGCGGUGUACGUCUACAGUACCUGGCUACACGGCGGGAGGACGUCGAGGGAGGUUUCCGGAUUACGCCACAAAAUCCGGGGUUCGCUGGUUGAGCCACAAAGCCAUGCAUCGUACCGGGGCGCUCGUGCGGCGGGCGUUGGCCGAAGAUGGAAAUUCCGGCGAUCGCGAUACGAUUUCGGAUGGUCAUGCGGUGACAUCGCGAGGAUCACAUCGCGGAGAUGGAGGGAUCGCGGACAUCGCGAAAUUUACCAUGGAAGAUUAGACGUAAUUAGAAUUUACGCUCCUACGUUAAAUUUAUUUAGCGUAGGGGGUUAUGUGUAAAAGGUAGAGCCAACCUUGGGGUUAUAAAUAUGUGGCACCUAGGGUUGAGAGGGUUUGGGGCCUUUUUGCUACA
This is a long non-coding RNA of Sorghum bicolor (sorghum), 1186 nucleotides long. RefSeq lists it as uncharacterized. The transcript has 2 exons. NCBI's taxonomy places the organism in Eukaryota, Viridiplantae, Streptophyta, Magnoliopsida, Poales, Poaceae. The record is from RefSeq and is a predicted model, not a curated record.